CUGAAUUUAUGGCCAGGUUACAUGAACAUCUGAAGUAUUUUGUAAAUAUGAAAAUUUCUACAGACAAGUCAUGGCAAGGAGUUACCAUCUACUUCUCAGGCCAUGAGACUCCUGGAGAAGGAGAGCAUAAAAUCAUGGAAUUUAUCAGAUCCGAGAAAGCAAAGCCAGAUCAUGAUCCAAACACCAGACACUGUCUUUAUGGUUUAGAUGCUGACUUGAUUAUGCUUGGAUUAACAAGUCAUGAGGCACAUUUUUCUCUCUUAAGAGAAGAAGUUCGAUUUGGUGGCAAAAAAACACAACGGGUGUGUGCUCCAGAAGAAACUACAUUUCACCUUCUACACUUGUCUUUAAUGAGAGAGUAUAUUGACUAUGAGUUUUCAUUAUUAAAAGAAAAGAUCACAUUUAAAUAUGAUAUUGAAAGGAUAAUAGAUGAUUGGAUUUUGAUGGGGUUUCUUGUUGGUAAUGAUUUUAUCCCUCAUCUACCUCAUUUACAUAUUAAUCAUGAUGCACUGCCUCUUCUUUAUGGAACAUAUAUUACCAUCCUGCCAGAACUUGGGGGUUAUAUUAAUGAAAGUGGGCAUCUCAACUUACCUCGAUUUGAGAAAUACCUGGUGAAACUAUCAGAUUUUGAUCGGGAGCACUUCAGUGAAGUUUUUGUGGACCUAAAAUGGUUUGAAAGCAAAGUUGGUAACAAGUACCUCAACGAAGCAGCAGGUGUCGCAGCAGAAGAAGCCAGGAACUACAAGGAAAAGAAAAAGUUAAAGGGCCAGGAAAAUUCUCUGUGUUGGGCUGCUUUAGACAAAAAUGAAGGCGAAAUGGUAACUUCUAAGGAUAAUUUAGAAGAUGAGGCUGAAGAUGAUGACCUAUUUGAAACUGAGUUUAGACAAUAUAAAAGAACAUAUUACAUGACGAAGAUGGGGGUUGACGUAGUAUCUGAUGACUUUCUGGCUGAUCAAGCUGCAUGUUAUGUUCAGGCAAUACAGUGGAUUUUGCACUAUUACUAUCAUGGAGUUCAGUCCUGGAGCUGGUAUUAUCCUUAUCAUUAUGCACCUUUCCUAUCUGAUAUACGCAACAUCAGUACACUCAAAAUCCAUUUUGAACUAGGAAAACCUUUUAAGCCAUUUGAACAGCUUCUUGCUGUACUUCCAGCAGCCAGCAAAAAUUUACUUCCUACAUGCUACCAGCAUUUGAUGACCAAUGAAGACUCACCAAUUAUAGAAUAUUACCCACUUGAUUUUAAAACUGACCUAAAUGGGAAACAACAGGAAUGGGAAGCUGUGGUGUUAAUCCCUUUUAUUGAUGAGAAGCGAUUAUUGGAAGCCAUGGAGACAUGUAACCACUCCCUCAAAAAGGAAGAGAGGAAAAGAAACCAACAUAGUGAGUGCCUAAUGUGCUGGUAUGAUAGAGACACAGAGUUUAUCUAUCCUUCUCCAUGGCCAGAAAAGUUCCCUGCCAUAGAACGAUGUUGUACAAGGUAUAAAAUAAUAUCAUUAGAUGCUUGGCGUGUAGACAUAAACAAAAACAAAAUAACCAGAAUUGACCAGAAGGCAUUAUAUUUCUGUGGAUUUCCUACUCUGAAACACAUCAAACACAAAUUUUUUUUGAAGAAAAGUGGUGUUCAAGUAUUCCAGCAAAGCAGUCGUGGAGAAAACAUGAUGUUGGAAAUUUUAGUGGAUGCAGAAUCAGAUGAACUUACCAUAGAAAAUGUAGCUUCAUCAGUGCUUGGAAAAUCUGUCUUUGUUAAUUGGCCUCACCUUGAGGAAGCUAGAGUCGUGGCUGUAUCAGAUGGAGAAACUAAGUUUUACUUGGAAGAACCUCCAGGAACACAGAAGCUUUAUUCAGGAAGAACUGCCCCACCAUCUAAAGUAGUUCAUCUUGGAGAUAAAGAACAAUCUAACUGGGCAAAAGAAGUACAAGGAAUUUCAGAACACUACCUGAGAAGAAAAGGAAUAAUAAUAAAUGAAACAUCUGCAAUUGUGUAUGCUCAGUUACUCACAGGUCGUAAAUAUCAAAUAAAUCAAAAUGGUGAAGUUCGUCUAGAGAAACAGUGGUCAAAACAAGUUGUUCCUUUUGUUUAUCAAACUAUUGUCAAAGACAUCCGAGCUUUCGACUCCCGUUUCUCCAAUAUCAAAACAUUGGAUGAUUUGUUUCCUCUGAGAAGUAUGGUCUUUAUGCUGGGAACUCCCUAUUAUGGCUGCACUGGAGAAGUUCAGGAUUCAGGUGAUGUGAUUACAGAAGGUAGGAUUCGUGUGAUUUUCAGCAUUCCAUGUGAACCCAAUCUUGAUGCUUUAAUACAGAACCAGCAUAAAUAUUCUAUAAAGUACAACCCAGGAUAUGUGUUGGCCAGUCGCCUUGGAGUGAGUGGAUACCUUGUUUCAAGGUUUACAGGAAGUAUUUUUAUUGGAAGAGGAUCUAGGAGAAAGUAAGUUUAUGUUAGAGAAAUUUACUUAAAGUGGGAGAAAAAUUAAAUGAUAAAGAUUAAAUGCUUAAUAUUUCAGUAUUUAUUUUCUUAUUAAUUGCUCUGGAUUGUCUUAAAAUUGUGCAUAAAUUUCUCUGAUGGUAAUCUUUCAUCUGAAUGGCACAUGUUUUAGGUGGUUGGAAAAGACAGUUCUUAUUUUUUAGCAGCUAAUAAAUUGAACCUUGAAAAAAGGU
RNAcentral lists this small RNA (2652 nucleotides) under Pongo abelii (Sumatran orangutan). RNAcentral describes it as "retained intron". Lineage: Eukaryota; Metazoa; Chordata; Mammalia; Primates; Hominidae. The record is from RNAcentral.